Molecule: ribosomal RNA, 253 nt
Filed under: uncultured bacterium
Lineage: Bacteria
Description: partial 16S ribosomal RNA
Rfam family: Bacterial small subunit ribosomal RNA
Source: RNAcentral
GACGUAGGGGGCAAGCGUUGUCCGGAAUCAUUGGGCGUAAAGCGCUCGUAGGUGGAUCGGUAAGUCUGCAAAGAAAGACCCGGGCUCAACUCGGGGAACGGUGUGGAUACUACCGAUCUUGAGGCAAUCAGAGGAUGAUGGAAUUCCCGGUGUAGCGGUGAAAUGCGUAGAUAUCGGGAAGAACACCCGUGGCGAAGGCGGCACUCUGGGACGGUACUGACGCUGAGACGCGAAAGCGUGGGGAGCGAACAGG